GUGACAUUUAUCCAAGAGGCCUGAGCGUUACGAAUUGGGCUUUCUUUUCCUUUUGUUUUAGAUUUACCUAAAGGUUUUAAGUGAAUGUUGAAUGAAAUACAAAACAGAAUAUUUUUUGCUCCGAGAGAAUUCUUCCCGCCUUGUCAUUAACCUAGGGGCGGGGUGGGUGUGGACAGUGAACAGAAAAUAAACCAAGCGCUGGACAGAAAUGUAUAAUCAGUGGAAAAUGCAGCGGAAUGUUGUGUGAAAGCAGUAAAUGACCGAUGUAUAAUUUGAACUCCAUAGAAAGGGGAUUUAGAAGAAGGGAUACCAAACCCACUGUUCCUGGGGAAUAAAGUGAGUGCUACUGAUCGGCAACAGUGUGUCCUGCGGAGCGGGAGGAGGCAGCCUCCGGCCGCCUCGUGUCCCCAUCAGCUGCCAAGUCCCUUAUCUAGUCGUUCAAGUAUUUCUUGAGGCUCUUACUAUGUGUUAGGAACUCUCUAGGGCCAGGGAUUGUGAACAAAUCAAAAACCUCUGUCUUCGUGGAGCUCACAUUCUAAAUGGGGCAAAGAUAAGAGACUACACGUCAGAUAGUGAAGUGGUGGAGAAGAAAACAGGAUGGUCAGGAAAAGCCUGACCUGAGCCAAGCCUGAAGGAAGUGAGGAAGGAAGGCCAAGCAGCUAUCUGGGAGGAAGAAUUUUCCAGGUGGAAGGAGCACCGAGCGCAAGGAUCUGAGAUGGGAGUGUGCUUGGCGGGUUCAAGGACCAGCAAGGAAGCCACAGUGGCGAGAGCAAAGGGUAGGGUGAGGUCCAGACAUGAAAGGGGGCCAGUCUUGUAAGGCCUCCGAGGCCAAUGGAAGAACUUUGGCUUCCGCUGAGUGAAAUGGGGAGUCACAGCACGCAUAGUUUAAAGCAGAGGAGGAGUAUGGUCAAUCUGCAUCUUAGAGAAAUCCUCUUGCUGCUCUAUAAGAAUUUACAGUAAGUGUGUAUUAGAGGUGAGGGGAAGGGUGGGGCAAGAGCAGAAGCCGCGAGCCCAGUUAGGAGGCUGUUGAAAUGUUCCAGCCCAGAGAUGGUGGUGGCCAAGGUCGGGGUGUUACCAUGAAGGGAGUGACAAGUGGUUGAGUGCUUCAUACACUGUGGUGGUAGAACCAAAAGGAUUUGCUUAUCAGUUGUGUGUUACGUGUGGGAGAGGUCAAAGCUGACCCAAGGUGGUUCUAGACGGAAGCCCCAGAGCUAUGCUGAGCACUGCACUGAACACCCGCUGAGCCGAGAGGCAGAGAGGAGGGCAUGCUCCUUUAGCUGCUUGCAGCUCUUAGUGCACUCAGCCUGCCCGCUGUCACUGUCGGAAUCUCAGGCGCCACGCUCUGCCCACUGCAUUUUAACAAGAUCCUCGGCUAAUUUGUAUACACGCUGAAGUUUGGGGGGAAAAAAAUCACUGCUUUAUGCCUUAGAACUUGACCAAUGUCUUUAAGAUCACACAUGAAAUACUCUACCAGACAAAUUUUCCGCAGACCUACAGCAUCAGAAGCCUCAGGGUGGAGUCCCGCACUCUGUUUUAACAUGUCCUCGGGGUGAGACUGAUGGGAGCUAAAGCGUGAGAACCAAUGACCUGGAGGCCCCUGAUGAUUCAGGUUUGAGCUGAAGAGGGCUUGUGGUAAGGCGUGAGGAGGAGAGGCCACUUCUGCGUUUCCUUGGCUCAUUGCACAGUAGUAGUUACCAAAGCAUGAAGACUCGUGUUCAGCUAAAUUAGGCUUUUCUUCAAGGAAAAAAGAAAGAUUGUUGAGAGGGAGCAGGAUAGAUGACAACACAGACAGCAGAUUCUCAGUUGGGGUCCAUCUCGCAGCCGUCUGUGUAUCCAGAUAGGCUGGGUUAUGCUGCAGUAACAGUCCCGAAAGCUCUGUGACUUCAAACAGGGAUCUGCAGACUACAGUCCUAGGGCCACGUGGCCCUCCCACUGUUUUUGUAAAUAAAGUUUUUUGGGACACAGCCACAUCCAUUCAUGUACAUAUUUUCUAUGGCCACUUUCCUGCCACAGCAGAGCAGAGUUGAGUAGUCGUGACAGAGACAGCAUGGUGUGCAAAACCUAAAAUACUAUCUCAUACUUUACAGAAGUAGUUUGCCAAUCCCUGGCUUAAAACAUCCAUCAUGGCUCAGCAGGAGGGCCCUACUCAGAGUAGUCAUUUGCUAGAUUCAGGCUGAUGGAGAAAGCAAGCUCAAGCGUUGAUGAUUAGCUUGCUGUAAGAAAAAAGAACUUGGGAGUAUCUCAAGUAGUAGUCAGUUAAAUACUCCAGACAGGUGGGUUUGCGUCACGUGCACCCACACCUCAUUGGCCAGACAGAGUCACAUGAUGCCAGGCAACCAAGAGAUGCUGUCCUAUCAGAUCCCUAGUAGGAAGCUAAGUGAACCAGAAACGUUUGGGGAACAUGCAUUGAAGCAUACAUAGCUGUGGUGCGCUCACUUCCUACAAUAUGUCAUCCCAUCCCAUUUCCGUGGUGUUGUGACUUUCUUGCAAUCGUUCAGGUCAGCACUUGCUCCAGGAAAACCAAUGAAUUUCAGGCAAAACAGUGUCUUUAGUCUGACUUCCUGCCCAGUCGAAUGCCAUGGUCCCAGCAAUCAAAAUUUGUCUAUUUCCUACCUGACAAAAGGGGACUGAAGCUAUAUUUAUGUGAAUUUUUAAUACUUUCCUGUCCUCUUUUUUUUUUUUUUACCUUUUUUUCUAAUCCAAAGCCAUGCAGUGGCUUGGGGUCAUUGUAUCACUGAAUAAAUAGGAAAAUUAAAGGUUUUUCCCAGAAAACCAGUGGGAGAGCAGAGUACAUCUAUAAAUGAAAAAUGCUUUCUCCAAAAACCUUGGUUUUAAGGUAUAGCCAAUAUUAAUAUGUUUUAAUAACAGCAAUCUCCCAAGACUUCUGACGUUCACUUGUUUAAUUCAUGAGACCACAGCACUCUGAAGUCUCCACAGGCGAGUGAAUGAAUAAUUGAACUACUUAUCCUGAUAAUUGUGGCAAAAUAGUUAAGCUGCUUCAACUUGAAUCACCCGAUAAACUAAUGUCAAGCAUGUUUCUAGCAAAAGAGGGGAACUUCCAUCUGAAUUACCUUAACUGCCUCUCUGCCAGGGUAACAGCGGGAAGCCCAGCCUAGCUGUGGACUUCACUGCUCACACAGCUAAGGCUCUUCUCUUCCGGUUGUUUUACUACAAGUCAGCAGCAGACAUUUGUAUCAUAAUUUUCCAUUACUGCCUUUUUAUGAUAAUUAAUCCCAUAAUUGUCUGUGUGUCCAUGAGCCAGCAUUAGACUCUGAGCUUUUAAAGGGAAGAAAUCAGUUGUUUGGAUUUCAUCUCUGUAUCCUCUGAAGUAGUAAUAUGCCUGGCACAAAUGUUUUGUCAAUAAAUAUUGCCUACUGUAUUAACCUAUCGGUCCAUGCUGCCCCUUUGCCCUGUUACAUUGUGGUCAUCAGCUGAAGUGGCAUUCUUUUCCACUUACGUUUUCUUAUGUCUGCCUUUUCUUAAUUGUAAUAUUACGCUUAGAAAUACAGCUUUAUAUUUUGUAGAGGUAGAAAAAGUCCAGAAUAGUUUUUCAGGUUUCACAAAUUACUGUUGUUUCUUAUUGAACACUCUUAGAAGCCAUGCACUGCUUUCAACAUAUAAGCAAACAUAACUUUGAGCACAGGCGUUAAAAUGCUCCAUAGUUACUUAUGUGAACUGUGCAUUCUCUUAACUUCGUGUUUCUAUUUCAGUGGUUCUCCACCUGUAGUGAUUUUGCACCACUGCCAGGACGUUUGGCAAUGUCUGGAGGUGUUCUUAAGUUGUCACAACUUGGCAGGGAGGUGCUCAGGCAUCUAGUGGGUGGAGGCCAAGGAUGCUUCCAAACAUCCUGCAAUGCACAGGACAGCACAGACUUAUCCAGGCCAAAACGCCAAUAAUGCUGAAGGUGGGAAACUGUGUUCUAUUUUAUGAGACCAAAAAGGUAUUCAUUUGAUUCAGCACCUUGCAAGUGACAGUAGUGAGAUGACACAGGCAAAAACACACACAAAAAAAGUGUCUUUAGAAAGAAAGUGUGGAAGGAUGUCACACUAAACUCUGCAUCUCGGCACUGAUACGCAUUCAUGGUCUUUUUCAGCCAAUAUAUACUAUAUAUAUUCAUUUCUCCCACGAAUACAUGCAACCCACUGUGAACAAUGGUCUUCUGAGAAAAAGAAUUUCCUUCAAAGUGACAACAGCUCCACAAGUUUUAGAAGGAAUAAAACUUUAUGUAUCUCAAAGUUACAUCCUGGGAGAAGCUAAGUACAGGAUAGAUGGAAAAGGACCGCAAACUCCAGUCGCUGAUCUAGGAAGGAGCAGUGGCAUUCCAAGAUGGGAGAGAAAAUGUUGAGAGAAAUUUGCUGAGGAAAGAAUCCAAGCAGAGUGGUGACUGGAAGGAGAGUAGCAGAGGAGAUGAUCGCAGAGGAUAUCGCACAGGGUAGUCACACUCCAUUAAGACGCUGCUUCCAGAGGAGACUUUUCUCUAGGCCCUUCUUGUCUAGACCGCGUGCCUCUGGCAGUCCUGUCCUGCUGCAAGACCCGUGUUCCUUGGCUUUCUUUGGAGUCAGAGCUGGAGAUGCUGCUUCUCCUGAAUGCGGUGCUAACAUCUACCUAAAGAAGAAAGAGGCCAGUUCUUUAGGACGGGGCAAGUUGGUUUGACGAGAGAAAGAGAAGAGGUGAUCAUGUGACAAGAAAUAGGAAAGUCUUACACCAGACAACUUUGAUGGAGGAAGAAGUGCACGACCACGACCACAGCGAGAGGGUGGGCCCCUGGAACCCGGAACGUCCUGCUUACUCCCACGGAGCUGGGCUCAGACUGUACGCAGGGCUCCUUAGAGGUCAUGCAGAUCGGGGAAAAUGGGCAACACUCAUUAAGUGUUUCGUGCCUAGAGUACCUGCUGCUGGACUCCUUUCAUCCCUGUGGAGCAGGCCCCUUCACCAGCUUCAUCUUACAGGUGAAAACAUCAAGGCUCAGGGAAGUUAAGCAACUUUUCCGAGAGCACCCAUCUAGUAAGUCCUCGAGCCGGGAUUCAAACUCUUGUCUCUUCAACCCUAGAGCUCACGCUCGUAACUAAUGGCGCAUACAACCGUUUUUACUCCACAACGCACGUCCAAACCUAACCAACACGUGAGAAACGCAGCCUGAGUCUCAGAAGCAAGAGCAUCAACAAAGAAGCUGCCUAAACAAGUGAAACCAAGCCUGCAGAACUGCAAGGCCACAUGUCUAACAGACGUGAUAAUGACUGUACACCCUCUCUAUUCCUUUCUUCACAAAGGGCUGACCCACCCAUGUGAAAACCUGCCGGGGACCUCAGCCUUCAGCUCUAGGAUUUGUUUCAGCAUUCCCCUUUCUGCCUGGUUAGGUCCCCGGGCCCUUGCUGUCAUCUUCUGAGUACGUUUUUCCUCCUUCUGAUUCCAUUUCUUAACUCCAGAUUCGGGCCCUCCACACUUCUCACUGUACCCAUUUCAACAUGCCCUUUGGGCUCUAGCCAGCAUUCCCUCUUGGAAAUGAUCUUAACACGACCUUGUGGGGCCACAGGGGAGAGGCUUGGCUUGGCUCCCUGCCUGGGCCUCAGGCUCUGCCACACAAGGAGACGCCCACUCUCAGGACAGCGGAAGAGGACACACAUUCACAUUCGUAUAAAGCUCAUUGUUUACAGAACAUUUGAAAAAUAUCCUGUGGUGUUUUUAGGAGAAGACAGAGCAGGUACUAUUUUCUCCAUUUUUUUUUAAAUGUCACAAACAUUUCAAGCAUACAAGAGAAAUACACAUAUAGAGACAUCCAUGAACACUGCCCAGACUUGACACAUUUACAUUUAUUUUUCCUUAAAGAAAUAAAAUGUUACAGAUAUGAUUGAAUAUCUUCCCAUCCCAUUUCCCCCCUCCUUCCCCAGAGAACCCACGAUCCUUAAAUUGAUCUGAAUCAUGGCAUCCAGGUUUUUAAAUUGUCUGUAUCUAUCUAUCUCUCUACCUGGAAUCUGCAAUGGAUACUAUUGUUCUGUGUUCCUAAAACUUUGACACAAUAUCUUACUAUAUGUAUCCUUUUGCAACUUGCUUUUUUUUUUCAAUUAGUCUUUUUUUUAAUUGAUUGAUUUUUUUUUUUCAGAUUCAGAUUUGUGUUUGUUUGUUUUCCCUUUGGAAUCCUAGUUGGGUUUUUUUGGCAGUAGCAUUGGUUUAUAACAUUAUAUAAAUUUCGGGUGUCCAUCAUUAUAUUUCAGUUUCUGUGUAGAUUGCAUCAUGUUCACCACCCAAAGACUAAUUACCAUCCAUCACCACACACAGGUGCCUAAUCACCCCUUUCGCCCUCCUGCCUCCCCGCUUCCCCUCUGGUAACCACCAGUCCAAUCCCUGUCUCUGGGUGUUUGCCUGCUGUUGUUUGCAACUUGCUUUUUCAGUGUUUUGUUUCUAAGAUUUAUCUUUGUUGAAACAUGUAUCUAAGUUCAUUUAUUUCACCUACUAGAGUGUCUCUUUUUGCUGUAUGCGUAUACACAUACAUAUGUUACUUAUCUAGUUUCCUACUGAAAGAAAUUUACAUAACUUUCUUUUUUGCACCGUUUUGAAAGAUACUGCAAUGACCAGUGUUGCACACUGUUCUUGUAGACAUGUGCUGGACUUUUUCUAGUGCAAAUUCCUGGAAGUAGAAUUGCUAGGUCAUAGGAUAUGUGCAGAACUACAAUUUUAGAAGACACUGCCAAUUGCUCUCCCAAGAGGUUGUACCAAUUUGCAUUUCCAUCAUCUGAGUUUGAGAAUUCCCAUUUCCUUUCAUCCUUGACAACUUUCUGCAUUGUCAGAUGUUUUGAUUUUUAUCAAUCUGUCCACUAAAAAAUAAUUUCACAUUGUUUUAUCAUGGGUAGAUUUUUAAAUUACUGAUUCAAUUUCUUUAUUGACUAUAAAGUCCACUGAAGUUUUCUAUUUCUUCUUGACUCAAUUUUGGUGAUUUAUAGUUUGCAAAAAAACCUGCUCAUUUCUUCCACAUUGCAAAUGUCUUGGCCUAAAGUUGAUUAUGAUAUUUUCUUACUAGUUUUAAAUUUAUUCUAAUUCUAUACCCCUUUUCCUUCCUGAUAUCAUUUAUGUCUUCUCUUUUUAUUUUAAUGGAUCCCGCUAGAGGAUUGUCUAGUAUAUUAAUCUUUUCAAAACACGAGUUUUGGUACUGUUGACCCUGUCUUCUUCCCUUAUUUUCUGUUGCGUUAAUUUCUGUACCUAUCCUUGGUCUUCUUUUUUCCCCUUUUUUGAGCACAAAUUCUUUGGUUCUUUUUGUACUUUCUUUAGUUGCAUGAUAAAUUAAUUUUCAAUCUUUUUUUCUAAUACAUGCAUUAAGGUCGUAAAUUUCUCUUCAAAAACUGCAUUAGCUGUACGACAGUUCUUUCGUUGUAAUUUUGUCCUAAAUAUUUAAUAAUUUUAUUGUGAUUUCUUAAUCAAUGUAUUUAUUUAUAAAAAUGUUUUAAUUUUUCUAACUAUAUUAGAGGUACAGUAUAACGGGGUGAUUGCUUACGUUUUUGCUAAAGGAUUCUUAAUUUCAUUGUAUUUUAGACAGAUAAUGUAGUUUGAAUGAUAUAAAUUAUUUUGUAUUUGUUGAGACUUCUCUGCAGCAUAGGCUGGGACCUGUGUUGGUAAAUGUUUCGUGUGUACUUGAAAAGAAUGUAUUAUAUUGAACUAUUAAGCACAGAAUUUCCUUUGCUUCUUUGUUUGUUUGUUUUUGGUGAGGCAGAUUGUCCCUAAGCUAACAUCUUAAGCACAAAGUUUUUUUGUUUCUGUUUUUUGUGUGUGUUUUUGAGGAAGAUCAGCCCUGAGCUAACAUCUGCUCUCAAUCCUUCUCUUUUUGCUGAGGAAGACUGGCCCUGAGCUAGCAUCUGUGCCCAUCUUCCUCCACUUUAUAUGUGGGACGCCUACCACAGCAUGGCUUGCCAAGCAGUGCCAUGUUCGCACCCAGGAUCCAAACCAGUGAAUCCCAGGCCACCGAAGUGGAACGUAUGAACUUAACCACUGUGACACUGGGCUGGCCCUUAAUAAGCACAAAGUUUUAUAUAAGUCAUUUGAUUAAAUUUUUUCACAUUCCAAGCAUUGUUAAUAAUUUUCUUUUGUCUUCUUUAUCAGUUUCUGAAAGCAGUACAUUAAAAUUUCCCAUCUAUAAUGGGGAAUUGUCAAUUUCUUUCUGUAAUUCUGUCCAUUUCUGCUAUAAGUAUUUUGAGGCCAUGUUAGUAGGUACAUAUAAGUCUGGAAAUGUUUAUAACUGUCUGUAAAUUACUCAUUUUAUCAUUCCAUAAACACCUUCUAGUGAUGCGUUUUAAAUUUUUGGAGUCCAUUUUAUGUGAUAAUAAUGUAGCCAUGUCAGAUUUCCUUCAGGUAGUUUCUGUCUGAGAGGUAGGUCAUUUCAGUGUAUUUAGUUAGAUGGUCUGUAUCCUUUUUAAAUGGUGUGUCUUGUAAACAGCAAAUAGUGCAUUGUUCUUCUUCUUUAAAAUCGGGAGGUCUCUGCCUUCCAGCUGGUGAACUGAACCCUUUUCCAUUUAUUGUUAUUAUUGAUGCCUGUGGGAUUGUUCCUACCCUCCUACUUUGGCUCUUCCUGCCCUGCUCGAUUAUCUCCCUUCGCUCAGUCCUGCCUUCCAUUGAGUCGACUGGGUUUUCUGUUUCCUCUGCUUUUCUCUUCUACUCAUUUGAAAGUUAUGUAUUCUAUUUUCAUUCUUAUGUCAGUUACUCAAUAAAAGGGAUAACUAUCUUUACAAAGUUUAAA
This 8722-nucleotide long non-coding RNA is filed under the name Equus asinus (donkey). Its description in RNAcentral is "lncRNA (ENSEASG00005037639.1)". Lineage: Eukaryota; Metazoa; Chordata; Mammalia; Perissodactyla; Equidae. The record is from RNAcentral.